UCCGUAGGCGGGCUAAUAAGUCAGGGGUGAAAUCCCACAGCUUAACUGUGGAACUGCCUUUGAUACUGUUAGUCUUGAGUUAUAUGGAAGUAGAUAGAAUGUGUAGUGUAGCGGUGAAAUGCUUAGAGAUUACACAGAAUACCGAUUGCGAAGGCAGUCUACUACGUAUAUAUUGACGCUAAUGGACGAAAGCGUGGGGAGCGAACAGGAUUAGAUACCCUGGUAGUCC
RNAcentral lists this ribosomal RNA (229 nucleotides) under uncultured bacterium. RNAcentral describes it as "partial 16S ribosomal RNA". It matches the Rfam family "Bacterial small subunit ribosomal RNA", at positions 568 to 796 of the family's 1533-position model. The record is from RNAcentral.